Xenia sp. Carnegie-2017 is the source of this 483-nucleotide long non-coding RNA. RefSeq lists it as uncharacterized. The record is from RefSeq and is a predicted model, not a curated record. NCBI's taxonomy places the organism in Eukaryota, Metazoa, Cnidaria, Anthozoa, Malacalcyonacea, Xeniidae. The transcript has 2 exons.
GAAGUAUUUUUUAGCUAGUAUGGCGAUGUUUUCUGUAUUCUUGACAGUACAUAAUUUUUUCAUUAGUCCAAUACUAUGAGUUAACUAUUGUUUUACCUUAAUGAAAUAUAAUUUAGUCUCGCCGCAUCAAUUGAGAGAAGGAGAAAUCCGCCUUGCUUUUAAUGGUAACGAAAGAGAAGUUUGUAAUAAACAAUACAGCAAAAACUGGAUGGCGGAAGACGUACAAGCAACAAAAAAGUUCCGUUCUAAAAAUUUUAAUCAACAUUUUACAAACAUUAUGAAAGAACCAAAUGUUUACCUUUACUUUUAUCCUGUGUUAGCAAUACAAGUCAAGUUGUAUGUAAGUUUUUCUAUUAUAUCUUCAAUCAAUAACUAAUUCACAAUCAAACUGUAAGAUAUAGUUGAAACUAGCAAUAUGUUUUGAUAUAGCAAACUGUCCUAUUAAACUGAUAUAUUAUACUAUUGUAUUAUGGUAUUUCCAAA